CGAAAUAUAGCUUAACAAAAGCAUCUCGCUUACACCGAAAAGAUAUCUGUGAAAUCCAGAUUAUUUCGA
Molecule: transfer RNA, 69 nt
Filed under: Rupirana cardosoi
Lineage: Eukaryota; Metazoa; Chordata; Amphibia; Anura; Leptodactylidae
Description: tRNA-Val
Rfam family: tRNA
About the family: Transfer RNA (tRNA) molecules are approximately 80 nucleotides in length.
Source: RNAcentral